Molecule: unclassified non-coding RNA, 548 nt
Filed under: Hevea brasiliensis (rubber tree)
Lineage: Eukaryota; Viridiplantae; Streptophyta; Magnoliopsida; Malpighiales; Euphorbiaceae
Source: RNAcentral
UAUAUAUAUAUAUAUAUAUAUAUCAAACUCAUUUAACAAGUUCCAAUCUUUUCCCUGUUCAAGUGUAGCACAGCACCAGAAACUAAACCCAUCAGUAUUCUUUUCAAUGAAUAGUUAAAAACCCUUAAGCGGCUAAACUUAAUGAAGCUUCCAAAUUCAUAUGGUAAUUAUCCAAGCGUAAUUUUUCCCUGUAUAAAUAAAGUUACCCACCAGCAUAUAUUUAAACUAAAUUCAACUAAAUAAGCUUCGAUUUCAAUCUAAUUAAAAUUGCUAUACAGAUAAUUUUCCAAUCAUUAUGUUCAGUUUAAAACCAUGCAAGCAUCCCUAUUCAAUUUUUACUCAUAUAUAUACACUUUUACAGUAACAUACUCAUAAGAAGUAAGAACAUAAAUGCAUAUGAAGUAACUCUUCCCUUAUGCAAUAUCCAGAUAUGAACAGAGGCAACCGCAUGAUUGAAGAAUUCUAUAGUACGUGGAGAUGAUGAUUAAAAAAGCAUAGAAAAGGCGGGAAAGAUAAAAUAGUACUGGUGCCCUGUUGACAGCUCCAAC